RNAcentral lists this ribosomal RNA (796 nucleotides) under uncultured bacterium. RNAcentral describes it as "bacterial SSU rRNA". It matches the Rfam family "Bacterial small subunit ribosomal RNA", at positions 62 to 893 of the family's 1533-position model. The record is from RNAcentral.
UCGACGCAUUCUUCGGAAUGAGUGGCGCACGGCUGAGGAACACGUGACUAACCUACCCCGGUGUGGGGGAUAACGGGUCGAAAGACUCGCUAAUCCCGCAUACGAUCCGCCUCGGCGGAGGAAAGCCGUAAGGCGCACUGGGCGGGGGUCGCGUCCCAUUAGAUAGUUGGUGUGGUAAUGGCGCACCAAGUCGAUGAUGGGUCUCUGGUCUGAGAGGACGACCAGACAGAUUGGGACUGAGACACGGCCCAAACUCCUACGGGGGGCAGCAGCAAGGAAUUUUCGGCAAUGGGCGCAAGCCUGACCGAGCAACGCCGCGUGGAGGAUGACGGCUCUUGGGUUGUAAACUCCUUUUGGGGGGGACGAUAAUGACGGUACCCUCCGAAUCAGGCCCGGCUAACUACGUGCCAGCAGCCGCGGUAAUACGUAGGGGCCAAGCGUUGUCCGGAAUUACUGGGCGUAAAGCGUGGGUAGGUGGUCGGUGAUGUGCCGCGUGAAAGCGCCGGAGUAAUGCCGGCGAGGUCGCGGUAGACACACGGACUCGAGGCUCGCAGAGGAACGUGGAAUUCCCGGUGUAGUGGUGAAAUGCGUAGAUAUCGGGAGGAACACCAGUGGCGCAAGCGGCGUUCUGGGCGAGACCUGACACUGAGCCACGACGGCGUGGGGAGCAAACAGGAUUAGAUACCCUGGUAGUCCACGCAGUAAACGAUGCAUACCAGGUGUGGGAUGGCGUUCGCGUCGUUCCGUGCCGCAGCUUACGCGAUGAGUAUGCCGCCUGGGGACUACGAGCGCAAGC